AAUUUCCUGAAGAUUUGUGCAUAAUGUACAGAUCAUAUGAAAAUUGUAAAUCAAUGCAUGCCCAGUUCAACAAACAAUUGUACAACUGGACAUGCUCAGUUCUGCAAAAUCAUGUGACAAAACAUACCUCCGUUUAGUCCAUACAAAAAUACAAGUAAGACUAUUAUUUUAGUAGCUCCGCCCCGUAUGUAAAUUAUAUAUUAUUGUUGGAAUAUUGUACUUGUAUGGAAAUAUAUCAGCUGGUCUAGAAGUUUAAUAAAAGUAUGAUUUUUACUAUUGAUCACUAUUGAUUAUUUAUGCACGCUACCAAGAGAAAACAGACAACAAAUGUGACGGCCGUAUUAAUUAUUACCCCGUGUAUUUACUAGUUUUAUGAGAUAUUAGUAUUUAAUGG
This 394-nucleotide long non-coding RNA is filed under the name Mytilus galloprovincialis (Mediterranean mussel). Lineage: Eukaryota; Metazoa; Mollusca; Bivalvia; Mytilida; Mytilidae. The record is from RNAcentral.